RNAcentral lists this long non-coding RNA (319 nucleotides) under Fukomys damarensis (Damara mole-rat). RNAcentral's name for it is "lncRNA (ENSFDAG00000032454.1)". Lineage: Eukaryota; Metazoa; Chordata; Mammalia; Rodentia; Bathyergidae. The record is from RNAcentral.
AGAAACAAGAGAGAUUUGGAGCCUUCAAGGACCACCUAAGUUUGGACAAGUACACACAACCGGUGACCACAAGGGACGAAAGAGGCCACUAAACAUUUCCUAAAUGAAAUGAUAUUUCCCAGUUCUAUCAAAGCUACUCCAAGGAACAAAGUCGAACCCUUGGGUCAGAAGGAUCGGAUCCCCAGAGACGACAGGAGAAGUUCAGAGCAUUAAGGUCAGAAUCUGGGUUACUCAAGGGGCAGAAUUUCACCUCAAGGGAUUGUUAAAGACUAGGAUGACCAUCUGGCCCUUGUCAAAAUGCAAAGGACUAUUGCAGUAG